GUUACGCUAAUACCGCAUAUUCUGUGAGCAGGGAAAGCGGGGGAUCGCAAGACCUCGCGCUUCCGGAGCGGCCGAGUGUCGGAUUAGCUAGUUGGCGGGGUAAAGGCCCACCAAGGCAACGAUCCGUAGCGGGGUCUGAGAGGAUGAUCCGCCACACUGGGACUGAGACACGGCCCAGACUCCUACGGGAGGCAGCAGUGGGGAAUUUUGGACAAUGGGCGCAAGCCUGAUCCAGCCAUGCCGCGUGAGUGAAGAAGGCCUUCGGGUUGUAAAGCUCUUUCGGCUGGGAAGAAAUCGCAUCUCCUAAUACGGGGUGUGGAUGACGGUACCAGCAUAAGAAGCACCGGCUAACUACGUGCCAGCAGCCGCGGUAAUACGUAGGGUGCGAGCGUUAAUCGGAAUUACUGGGCGUAAAGCGUGCGCAGGCGGUUUCGUAAGACAGAGGUGAAAUCCCCGGGCUCAACCUGGGAACUGCCUUUGUGACUGCGAGGCUAGAGUAUGGCAGAGGGGGG
RNAcentral lists this ribosomal RNA (512 nucleotides) under uncultured bacterium. RNAcentral's name for it is "bacterial SSU rRNA". It matches the Rfam family "Bacterial small subunit ribosomal RNA", at positions 157 to 661 of the family's 1533-position model. The record is from RNAcentral.